This 216-nucleotide long non-coding RNA is filed under the name Arachis ipaensis. RNAcentral's name for it is "long non-coding RNA (AIPA_LNC001346)". Lineage: Eukaryota; Viridiplantae; Streptophyta; Magnoliopsida; Fabales; Fabaceae. The record is from RNAcentral.
UUUGCUCCCAAUAUAAAGAGUAAGUUAGUAAUACGCUAACACGCACAUUAAUACACAUACAUAUAUCUCCACCACCAUGGCCGGCGGUGACUCCACGCCACCGUCCUACCACCCAACCUCAAAACCUUCCAAACACACCACCACCACCACCUGCAAGAAGACCAACCUCUACACCCUCGUAGCACUCCUCUGCAUCAUCUCCUACCUCUUCNNNNN